UAACAUUUCGAGUUGGUCUGGUGGAGU
Molecule: non-coding RNA, 27 nt
Filed under: Homo sapiens (human)
Lineage: Eukaryota; Metazoa; Chordata; Mammalia; Primates; Hominidae
Source: RNAcentral